UGAGGAAUAUUGCGCAAUGGACGAAAGUCCGACGCAGCCAUGCCGCGUGCAGGAUGACAGCCCUAUGGGUUGUAAACUGCUUCUCUGCUUUAAGAACCAGCCUUACGUGUAAGGCCUUGACGGUACAGCAGGAAUAAGCAUCGGCUAACUCCGUGCCAGCAGCCGCGGUAAUACGGAGGAUGCAAGCGUUAUCCGGAUUCAUUGGGUUUAAAGCGUGCGCAGGCGGAUGGGUAAGUCAGAGGUGAAAGCCUGCAGCUUAACUGUGGAAUUGCCUUUGAUACUGUCCAUCUUGAGUCCAGCUGAAGUAGGCGGAAUGUAGUAUGUAGCGGUGAAAUGCUUAGAUAUACUACAGAACACCCAUUGCGAAGGCAGCUUACUAAACUGGUACUGACGCUCAGGCACGAAAGCGUGGGGAGCAAACAGGAUUAGGUACCCUGGUAGUCCACGCCGUAAACGUUGAUCACUCGUUGUUGGCAAUACACCGUCAGCAACCCAGCUAACGCCGUAAGUGAUCCACCUGGGGAGUACGAUCGCAAGGUUG
RNAcentral lists this ribosomal RNA (541 nucleotides) under uncultured bacterium. RNAcentral's name for it is "bacterial SSU rRNA". It matches the Rfam family "Bacterial small subunit ribosomal RNA", at positions 355 to 896 of the family's 1533-position model. The record is from RNAcentral.